UCUUAUCCAGAGAGACCGAGGGACUUGGCCCGAUGACGUCUCAGCAACCUGCUCACGCAAGGUGCUGCUGCCAACAGGUAUUUUCAACCUGGCCGAUGAGG
Molecule: non-coding RNA, 101 nt
Filed under: uncultured Sporosarcina sp.
Lineage: Bacteria; Bacillati; Bacillota; Bacilli; Caryophanales; Caryophanaceae
Description: SAM riboswitch (S box leader)
Rfam family: SAM riboswitch aptamer (S box leader)
About the family: The SAM riboswitch is found upstream of a number of genes which code for proteins involved in methionine or cysteine biosynthesis in Gram-positive bacteria. The SAM riboswitch acts at the level of transcription termination control.
Source: RNAcentral